GGGUUCAGAAUUUAUUCUGAGCGGUAGCGGAGCGUUCCGUAAGCGAGUGAAGGCGAAGGGUAACCGACGCUGGACGUAUCGGAAGUGCGAAUGCUGACAUGAGUAGCGACAAACAGGGUGAGAUGCCCUGUCGCCGAAAGACCAAGGGUUCCUGCGCAACGCUAAUCGGCGCAGGGUUAGCCGGCCCCUAAGACGAGCCCGAAGGGGGUAGUCGAUGGGAACCACGUAAAUAUUCGUGGGCCUGAAGAUGUGUGACGGAUCGUGGAAGUUGUUUUCUCUUAUUGGAUUGAGAGGGCAGCCAAGCGGUUCCAGGAAAUAGCCUCUUCACUAUAGACCGUACCCGAAACCGACACAGGUGGUCAGGUAGAGUAUACCAAGGCGCUUGAGAGAAGUAUCCUGAAGGAACUCGGCAAAUUGCCUCCGUACCUUCGGAAGAAGGAGGCCCCAUAUCGACGCAAGUCUUUGUGGGGGGCACAGGCCAGGGGGUAGCGACUGUUUAGCAAAAACACAGCACUCUGCUAAGUCGGCUUCAAGACGACGUAUAGGGUGUGACGCCUGCCCGGUGCUCGAAGGUUAAGAGGAGGAGUGCAAGCUCCGAAUUGAAGCCCGAGUAAACGGCGGCCGUAACUAUAACGGUCCUAAGGUAGCGAAAUUCCUUGUCGGGUAAGUUCCGACCUGCACGAAUGGCGUAACGACUUCCCCACUGUCUCCAGGAUAUGCUCAGCGAAAUUGAAUUCUCCGUGAAGAUGCGGAGUACCCGCGGUUAGACGGAAAGACCCCGUGCACCUUUACUGCAGCUUCAGAGUGGCAUUAGGAAAUUACUGUGUAGAAUAGGUGGGAGGCUUUGAAACAUCGGCGCCAGCUGGUGUGGAGCCAACCUGUGAAAUACCACCCUGUGAUUUUCUGAUGUCUAACCACGCACCGUUAUCCGGUGUUGGGACCCUCUGUGGCGGGUAGUUUGACUGGGGCGGUCGCCUCCUAAAGAGUAACGGAGGCGCGCGAUGGUAUGCUCAGGACGGUUGGAAACCGUCUGCAAGAGUGCAAUGGCAUAAGCAUGCCUGACUGCGAGACCGACAGGUCGAGCAGAGACGAAAGUCGGUCAUAGUGAUCCGGUGGUCCCUCGUGGAAGGGCCAUCGCUCAACGGAUAAAAGGUACGCCGGGGAUAAC
RNAcentral lists this ribosomal RNA (1168 nucleotides) under marine metagenome. RNAcentral describes it as "bacterial LSU rRNA". It matches the Rfam family "Bacterial large subunit ribosomal RNA", at positions 1204 to 2478 of the family's 2925-position model. The record is from RNAcentral.